This 254-nucleotide ribosomal RNA is filed under the name uncultured bacterium. Its description in RNAcentral is "partial 16S ribosomal RNA". It matches the Rfam family "Bacterial small subunit ribosomal RNA", at positions 524 to 776 of the family's 1533-position model. The record is from RNAcentral.
UACGUAGGGUGCAAGCGUUGUCCGGAAUUAUUGGGCGUAAAGAGCUCGUAGGCGGUUUGUCGCGUCUGCUGUGAAAACGCGAGGCUCAACCUCGCGCCUGCAGUGGGUACGGGCAGACUAGAGUGCGGUAGGGGGAGAUUGGAAUUCCUGGUGCAGCGGUGGAAUGCGCAGAUAUCAGGAGGAACACCGAUGGCGAAGGCAGGUCUCUGGGCAUUAACUGACGCUGAGGAGCGAAAGCAUGGGGAGCGAACAGG